CCUACGGGUGGCAGCAGUGGGGAAUCUUGCGCAAUGGGCGGAAGCCUGACGCAGCGACGCCGCGUGCGGGACGAAGGCCUUCGGGUCGUUAACCGCCUUCAGCAGGGACGCGGCCCCCACGGUGACGGUACCUGCAGAAGAAGCCCCGGCUAACUACGUGCCAGCAGCCGCGGUAAUACGUAGGGGGCGAGCGUUAACCGGAUUCAUUGGGCGGAAGGCGCGCGUAGGCGGCCUGUUAGGUCGGGGGUCAAAUCCCGGGGCUCAACCCCGGUCCGCCCCCGAUACCGGCAGGCUUGAGUCUGGUAGGAGAAGGCGGAAUGCCCGGUGUAGCGGUGGAAUGCGCAGAUAUUGGGAAGAACACCGGCGGCGAAGGCGGCCUUCUGGGCCACGACUGACGCUGAGGCGCGAAAGCUAGGGGAGCGAACAGGAUUAGAUACCCGGGUAGUC
RNAcentral lists this ribosomal RNA (447 nucleotides) under uncultured bacterium. RNAcentral's name for it is "partial 16S ribosomal RNA". It matches the Rfam family "Bacterial small subunit ribosomal RNA", at positions 338 to 795 of the family's 1533-position model. The record is from RNAcentral.